AGCUUAGCGCAGUGGCAGUAUCGUAGCCAACGAGGUUUAUCCAAGGCGCGAUUAUUGCUAAUUGAAAACUUUUCCCAAUACCUGGUGGUGAUGACUUGAAAUAUGGUCGGCAUUGGCAAUUUUUGACAGUCUCUAUGGAGA
RNAcentral lists this small nuclear RNA (141 nucleotides) under Cebus imitator (Panamanian white-faced capuchin). Its description in RNAcentral is "U4 spliceosomal RNA (ENSCCAG00000006771.1)". It matches the Rfam family "U4 spliceosomal RNA". From Rfam's summary of the family: U4 small nuclear RNA (U4 snRNA) is a component of the major U2-dependent spliceosome. The structure of U4 snRNA from yeast and human has been reported. U4 snRNA presents a k-turn RNA motif in the 5p-SL related to recognition of Snu13 protein. The record is from Rfam by way of RNAcentral. Lineage: Eukaryota; Metazoa; Chordata; Mammalia; Primates; Cebidae.